This 645-nucleotide small RNA is filed under the name Pan troglodytes (chimpanzee). Its description in RNAcentral is "retained intron". The record is from RNAcentral. Lineage: Eukaryota; Metazoa; Chordata; Mammalia; Primates; Hominidae.
GUGCUUGGGUGAAGGGCAAGGCCAAAGCUGUGCAGACAGGGCUCCUUGCUGCUGCUCUGCUGCCUGGGCCACAGUUCCUGGGUAACAGACACAGGGACUGGGAACCUCCUAGCAGGUUCUUGGUGGCUCUGCUGCCCUCACCUAAGUGGCUGAAUUUUGUGUGGAUUCCAUGCUGGAGAGCAGGGCCAGGGGCCUUGCUGGCAGUGACAGCCCCACAGUGACGAUAGGCGGGGAGGACUUUAGGGGGCCCCACCUUAGCGGCUCUCUUUACCCUUCCUGUAGAGAAAAAAGAGUGCCGGCGGGACCACCGCCCACCGUGUGCUCAGGAGGCGCCCCGCAACAUGGUGCACCCCAAUGUGAUCUGUGAUGGCUGCAAUGGGCCUGUGGUGGGAACCCGCUACAAGUGCAGCGUCUGCCCAGACUACGACUUGUGUAGCGUCUGCGAGGGAAAGGGCUUGCACCGGGGGCACACCAAGCUCGCGUUCCCCAGCCCCUUCGGGCACCUGUCUGAGGGCUUCUCGCACAGCCGCUGGCUCCGGAAGGUGAAACACGGACACUUCGGGUGGCCAGGAUGGGAAAUGGGUCCACCAGGAAACUGGAGCCCACGUCCUCCUCGUGCAGGGGAGGCCCGCCCUGGCCCCACGG